Molecule: ribosomal RNA, 497 nt
Filed under: uncultured bacterium
Lineage: Bacteria
Description: partial 16S ribosomal RNA
Rfam family: Bacterial small subunit ribosomal RNA
Source: RNAcentral
GAUGAACGCUGGCGGCGUGCCUAAUACAUGCAAGUCGAGCGAACGGACGAGAAGCUUGCUUCUCUGAUGUUAGCGGCGGACGGGUGAGUAACACGUGGAUAACCUACCUAUAAGACUGGGAUAACUUCGGGAAACCGGAGCUAAUACCGGAUGAUAUUUUGAACCGCAUGGUUCAAAAGUGAAAGACGGUCUUGCUGUCACUUAUAGAUGGAUCCGCGCUGCAUUAGCUAGUUGGUAAGGUAACGGCUUACCAAGGCAACGACGCAUAGCCGACCUGAGAGGGUGAUCGGCCACACUGGAACUGAGACACGGUCCAGACUCCUACGGGAGGCAGCAGUAGGGAAUCUUCCGCAAUGGGCGAAAGCCUGACGGAGCAACGCCGCGUGAGUGAUGAAGGUCUUCGGAACGUAAAACUCUGUUAUUAGGGAAGAACAUAUGUGUAAGUAACUGUGCACAUCUUGACGGUGCCUAAUCAGAAAGCCACGGCUAACUACGUG